Molecule: ribosomal RNA, 291 nt
Filed under: uncultured prokaryote
Description: partial 16S ribosomal RNA
Rfam family: Archaeal small subunit ribosomal RNA
Source: RNAcentral
GUGUCAGCCGCCGCGGUAAUACCAACCCCGCGAGUGGUCGGGACGUUUAUUGGGCCUAAAGCGUCCGUAGCCGGCCCGGUAAGUCCCUCCUUAAAGCCCACGGCUCAACCGUGGGAGCGGAGGGAUACUGCCGGGCUAGGGGGCGGGAGAGGCCGGGGGUACUCCUGGGGUAGGGGCGAAAUCCUAUAAUCCCAGGAGGACCACCAGUGGCGAAGGCGCCCGGCUAGCACGCGCCCGACGGUGAGGGACGAAAGCUGGGGGAGCAAAGGGGAUUAGAUACCCCCGUAGUCC